AGCCGGGCCAGCAGUGUCGCCGGCCGGCCGGCCGAGACCCGCGGGCUCCAACCCUCGCGGCCUCCGAGCGGGCGAGGGAAGGCGAGGGGCUCGUCAGCCCGCGAUCGCGGCCCGGCGUCCCGCCGCUCACCUGCCAGCUGUCUUCGCAGUAGCAGCGCCGACUGCAGCUCCGUCAUCCUCCCCGCCAAGAGCCCGGGCUGCCGCCGGGGCUUCGAGGAACUGCGGACAAGCUCUGACGGCGGCUGGGGCUAGGUGUAUUGAGGAACCCGGGCCCCGCGACUGGAGCGCCGAAGCCGCGGGAGGCCGGUCUGGGGCGACCGGAGAAGCACCUAGCUGCCGAUGCGAGUCGGCUCCGCUCCGCUUUCCUCUCAGCGCCUCACGCCCGGAAGGGGAGGGUACCCGGGCCGCCGCGGCGCGCACUGGGACUUCGCUCGUCCGCUUCCCUCCUCAGCCCGCCCGUCGGCCCCACCGGUGCCUUCCCCCGCCACUGCCUCACUGCGCGUAGGGCCGCUCCGCGCAAGCGCGCUGAGCCUGCCUACUUCGGAAGCCGCACGCCGGCUAGCCCGACCCCUCGGCCCUGCUGCCCCGCCUCCGGCGGCGGAACCCCGCCCACCGCGCGCCGUGGGCUCAUCCCGGCCAUCUUGGGAAGGUCCACGCCCGCCUGACUGCGGAAGCCUCGGCUGGUAGACGCCCCGCGGACGCCAUGACAAAGAGGUCGCGGAGGGUCAGGACGCUGCCUCCUGAUGUCAGUAGGAGGUCUGAGCGACGGCACCAGCGGGGCAGAUGUCGAGUUGUUAGCGGGCACCCAGGGGCCAUCUAGCACUACAUAUACGAGUUCCCUGUACCUGGACUGUAGAAAACAAAAACUCUGCAAAGGAAAGCAACUACAUUUCUACCCAUAAAGGCCUGCUGCUUCGGUGAGCUCCAAGUAAAAUGAACAAGAGAAGCAGAUUCCAGCAGGUGGGAAGAUUUUUCCAUUCCUCUACCAGUGUACCUGGCACUACCUUCUAAAAAAAGCCUCUUACAUUCAUCUUCAGGCUCCUUCUGUGAACCAACUGUACCUGCAUUACAGAACUCUGGAUCAAGUGAAGAGCCAUGUCGUAAGGAGAGAGCAGCCAAUGAAUGGUGCGCCAUGUUUUUUCCGUUCGUCUUACUUACGUUUUCUGAAUCCUAGAGCAAGGCUCUACUGUGUAACCAUGGGUAAGUGGCUUCAGGUUUUGAGUGUCAGUUUCCUUAACUAGAAAGUGGAAAUAAAUAACUCUCUCGCAGAGCGUGGGCCAUUACUGGGGUGUGAUCACCCAGUACAGAAACUCAUUCUGUGGCAAUAGAGUGUCCCCUCUGCUCUGCAGGCUGGAAGGCUCUUCUGCCUCCCCUCAGCUGAGAGCCCUGGUAGGUCGUGGAAGUCCAUCCAAUCAGAUACAGCUGUCUGACUCAGAAGCCUGCUGCGGGAGAGUAGGGAAGCUGUAGAGAGCCUCCUGGCUAGAAGCACUGGGGGAACUAUGGGAGAGAAUGUCCUAAGGGCUGUUCCAGUGUGAACUGCAGUGAACCUAACGGGAGCAAAAUGCAAGCUUUCUGCAAGAUCUUUGCCUAGCACAUUCAGAGCCCUGGGUUUGAUACCCAAGCAUGGCACUAAAUUAAUUACUUAAUCAUUUUCAAUAAAUAAAUAAACACAGGCCUUCUGCUGAUAAAAUUUAGAUACUGUUUCUGUCUGGCUAUAUGACUUCCAAACCCAGGUCUCCAACACCCCCACCCUGAGUCAGAGACUGUGUGAGCCACCUAUCCUUUAAAAACCAGUUAGAGUAGAUUCCAUUAUUUGGAGCUAAGUUCCCUGGCAAUUUCCGUAAUUGUAGGUAAAUAUAGUGUCUGGUACUAGAAGUAGGGUCAAUCAGCCUGUACUUGUGGCCUCUGGCCUUCCGUGUAGAUGAGAUAAUACAUUCCCUUACAGCUUCUGGAAUUCCUACUGUAACUUCCAACUCCUUUAGCUUAAAUGCAUGAGAAUCAAUCUCUUUUUUUACACUUCCAGCGCCUGGAUGUACCAACGAUGCACU
Molecule: long non-coding RNA, 2048 nt
Organism: Arvicola amphibius (Eurasian water vole)
Lineage: Eukaryota; Metazoa; Chordata; Mammalia; Rodentia; Cricetidae
Exons: 4
Source: RefSeq, a predicted model, not a curated record